UGAGAUUAAAUAUUUACUACAACAUAUUGGU
This 31-nucleotide non-coding RNA is filed under the name Mus musculus (house mouse). Lineage: Eukaryota; Metazoa; Chordata; Mammalia; Rodentia; Muridae. The record is from RNAcentral.